RNAcentral lists this transfer RNA (92 nucleotides) under Chloroflexota bacterium. Its description in RNAcentral is "Chloroflexi bacterium tRNA-Ser". It matches the Rfam family "tRNA". From Rfam's summary of the family: Transfer RNA (tRNA) molecules are approximately 80 nucleotides in length. Their secondary structure includes four short double-helical elements and three loops (D, anti-codon, and T loops). Further hydrogen bonds mediate the characteristic L-shaped molecular structure. tRNAs have two regions of fundamental functional importance: the anti-codon, which is responsible for specific mRNA codon recognition, and the 3' end, to which the tRNAs corresponding amino acid is attached (by aminoacyl-tRNA synthetases). tRNAs cope with the degeneracy of the genetic code in two manners: having more than one tRNA (with a specific anti-codon) for a particular amino acid; and 'wobble' base-pairing, i.e. permitting non-standard base-pairing at the 3rd anti-codon position. Lineage: Bacteria; Bacillati; Chloroflexota. The record is from RNAcentral. RNAcentral also lists the same sequence under 2 other names.
GGAGGGAUCGCAUAGUGGUCUAGUGCGGGCGCCUGCUAAGCGCCUUGGCUGAGAAAUCGGCCUCGUGGGUUCGAAUCCCACUCCCUCCGCCA